UAAGGAAUAUUGGUCAAUGGACGAAAGUCUGAACCAGCCAUGCCGCGUGGAGGAUGAAUGCCCUCUGGGUUGUAAACUUCUUUUAUUUGGGACGAAACACUUCUUUUCUAAGGGGCUUGACGGUACCAGAUGAAUAAGCACCGGCUAACUCCGUGCCAGCAGCCGCGGUAAUACGGAGGGUGCAAGCGUUAUCCGGAUUCACUGGGUUUAAAGGGUGCGUAGGCGGACAUGUAAGUCUGUGGUGAAAUCUCCGAGCUUAACUCGGAAACUGCCGUGGAUACUAUAUGUCUUGAAUGUUGUGGAGGUUAGCGGAAUAUGUCAUGUAGCGGUGAAAUGCUUAGAUAUGACAUAGAACACCGAUUGCGAAGGCAGCUGGUUACACAACUAUUGACGCUGAGGCACGAAAGCGUGGGGAUCAAACAG
This 423-nucleotide ribosomal RNA is filed under the name uncultured bacterium. RNAcentral describes it as "bacterial SSU rRNA". It matches the Rfam family "Bacterial small subunit ribosomal RNA", at positions 355 to 775 of the family's 1533-position model. The record is from RNAcentral.